AAAGCGUGCGCAGGCGGUUAUGUAAGACAGAUGUGAAAUCCCCGGGCUCAACCUGGGAACUGCAUUAGUGACUGCAUAGCUGGAGUACGGCAGAGGGGGAUGGAAUUCCGCGUGUAGCAGUGAAAUGCGUAGAUAUGCGGAGGAACACCGAUGGCGAAGGCAAUCCCCUGGGCCUGUACUGACGCUCAUGCACGAAGGUGCGGGGAUCAAACAGGAUUAGAUACCCUAGU
This 230-nucleotide ribosomal RNA is filed under the name uncultured bacterium. Its description in RNAcentral is "partial 16S ribosomal RNA". It matches the Rfam family "Bacterial small subunit ribosomal RNA", at positions 562 to 791 of the family's 1533-position model. The record is from RNAcentral.